AAGUCGUAACAAGGUCUCCGUUGGUGAACCAGCGGAGGGAUCAUUACCGAGUACAACUCGCCAACCCACUGUGAACAUACCUCAGUUGCUUCGGCGGACCCGCCCCGGCGCCCUCGGGCCCGGACCAGGCGCCCGCCGGAGGACCCCAAACCACUGAAUUACCAUGUGUAUCUUCUGAGCAAAGGCGAAAGCCGAAAAUGAAUUAAAACUUUCAACAACGGAUCUCUUGGUUCUGGCAUCGAUGAAGAACGCAGCGAAAUGCGAUAAGUAAUGUGAAUUGCAGAGCUCAGUGAACCAUCGAAUUUUUGAACGCACAUUGCGCCCGCCAGCACUCUGGCGGGCAUGCCUGUCCGAGCGUCAUUUCAACCCCUCGGGCCCCCUUCACGGGGCGGCCCGGUGUUGGGGAUCGCCCGCCCCCCGCGGCGGGCGUCCCCCAAAUCCAGUGGCGGACCUUCCGCGCCUCCCCUGCGUAGUACUGCACCUCGCACCGGAGCGCGCUGGGGCCCUGCCGUAAAACCCCCCACUUCUCAAGGUUGACCUCGGAUCAGGUAGGAAUACCCGCUGAACUUAAGCAUAUCAAUAAGCGGAGGAAAAGAAACCAACAGGGAUUGCCCCAGUAACGGCGAGUGAAGCGGCAACAGCUCAAAUUUGAAAUCUGGCCCCCGGGCCCGAGUUGUAAUUUGCAGAGGAUGCUUUUGGCGAGGUGCCUUCCGAGUUCCCUGGAACGGGACGCCAUAGAGGGUGAGAGCCCCGUACGGUCGUGCCACCGAGCCUCUGUAAAGCUCCUUCGACGAGUCGAGUAGUUUGGGAAUGCUGCUCUAAAUGGGAGGUGUAUGUCUUCUAAAGCUAAAUAUUGGCCAGAGACCGAUAGCGCACAAGUAGAGUGAUCGAAAGAUGAAAAGCACUUUGAAGAGAGGGUUAAACAGUACGUGAAAUUGUUGAAAGGGAAGCGCUUGUGACCAGACUUGGGCCCGGUUAAUCAUCCAGUGUUCUCACUGGUGCACUUGGCCGGCCCAGGCCAGCAUCAGUUCGGCGUGGGGGAUAAAGACUUCGGGAAUGUGGCUCCUCCGGGAGUGUUAUAGCCCGUUGUGUAAUACCCUGUACUGGACUGAGGUUCGCGCAUUCGCAAGGAUGCUGGCGUAAUGGUCAUCAGCGACC
Molecule: ribosomal RNA, 1158 nt
Filed under: uncultured Hypocreales
Lineage: Eukaryota; Fungi; Ascomycota; Sordariomycetes; Hypocreales
Description: eukaryotic LSU rRNA
Rfam family: Eukaryotic large subunit ribosomal RNA (bases 535-1158)
Source: RNAcentral